GACCUCGAUCAGGUAGGGACC
Molecule: ribosomal RNA, 21 nt
Filed under: uncultured Tuber
Lineage: Eukaryota; Fungi; Ascomycota; Pezizomycetes; Pezizales; Tuberaceae
Description: partial 28S ribosomal RNA
Source: RNAcentral